CUUAUCAAGAGUGACGGAGGGUUCAGGCCCUGUGAAGUCCGGCAACCUGCUUGUUAUCAUCACGGCAAGGUGCCAAUUCCUGCGGCGAAAGCCGAGAGAUGAGG
RNAcentral lists this non-coding RNA (104 nucleotides) under bovine gut metagenome. Its description in RNAcentral is "SAM riboswitch (S box leader)". It matches the Rfam family "SAM riboswitch aptamer (S box leader)". Rfam says of the family: The SAM riboswitch is found upstream of a number of genes which code for proteins involved in methionine or cysteine biosynthesis in Gram-positive bacteria. The record is from RNAcentral.